Hordeum vulgare subsp. vulgare (domesticated barley) is the source of this 543-nucleotide long non-coding RNA. RefSeq lists it as uncharacterized. The record is from RefSeq and is a predicted model, not a curated record. Lineage: Eukaryota; Viridiplantae; Streptophyta; Magnoliopsida; Poales; Poaceae. The transcript has 2 exons.
UCCAACUGCCUCACCAUCUCGUCGAAACUAUGAAGGGGGGCAGCAUGGUGUGCACGAUUGCUCUUUUGUUCAUCGGGUGCCUAGUCAUGGUUGGACAAUGUCGUCCCGAGCCCGACAGUGCAUACGAAGGUGCCCAUAGCAAUGUGACUAUGGUGGUCUCAUCAUUAGAUCAGAGAAAAAUUACCUUGAAAUGGUGUAUCGCAAGGGAUUGUAAGACCAAACGAGAACCAUCGAUACUAUCCCCUAUAUGCUAUUGCUGCUUCAAUGCGCAGGGAGCACCUUGUUUUAAAUCCCUAGGGGAUUGCCAGAAUCAGUGCCCAAAUUCUCUACCAGCAUAAUAACGGUGUGCUUUACUAGAUUAUAAUAUGAAAUUUCAUAUUUGAAUUAAAAUAAUGUGAUGAUCGAUUAAAAUUGAGUGGGCCAGUAUUGAAUAUUAAGUUUUGUUGAGCAUUAAACAUCUUGAUGGUGAUUACGGGGGUGGUUAUACCUCGGGACCGUCUUGUAUUUGGCUUAUUAAAAAAGAAAUAUUCUCCUUUAAGCCAA